Long non-coding RNA from Camponotus floridanus (Florida carpenter ant), 373 nucleotides. RefSeq lists it as uncharacterized. The transcript has 3 exons. The record is from RefSeq and is a predicted model, not a curated record. NCBI's taxonomy places the organism in Eukaryota, Metazoa, Arthropoda, Insecta, Hymenoptera, Formicidae.
UAUGAAAUAUUCAAGAGAGAACUUAGGAAACACGGCCAGUUAGUUAAAAUAUUUUUUCAUUGUCAGUUAUAUCUCAAUUUUCAUCGAAAAAUGACAUGCUUUGUGAAUCAGCACUUUAGACUCAAUCGUAUCCUUCUACUCGCAAUUGGCUUAUGGCCUUAUCAGCGAUCAUUACUCAUUCGAUUUCAACAAAUCUUGCUUUUUGGUAUUUUGGCAAGUUUUAUUGUAUUUCAGCUAACAAAAUUAUCGACGUCCGAAUAUAAAACAGAUCUUAUUAUCAAAAUUCUUUCUACCGCAUUAUUUUUUGUGAUGUUUAUGAUUGAAUAUAACUCAUUUUGGAUUAAUUCUCAAACUAUGAAAAAUUUAUUGGAGC